CAGUAGCCGCGGGAAUACGUAGGUGGCAAGCGUUGUCCGGAAUUAUUGGGCGUAAAGCGCGCGCAGGUGGUUUAAUAAGUCUGAUGUGAAAGCCCACGGCUCAACUGUGGAGGGUCAUUGGAAACUGUUAAACUUGAGUGCAGGAGAGAAAAGUGGAAUUCCUAGUGUAGAGGUGAAAUUCGUAGAUAUUGGGAAGAACACCAGUGGCGAAGGCGGCUCACUGGACCGACACUGACGCUGAGGCGCGAAAGCGUGGGGAGCAAACAGGAUUAGAUACCCCCGUAGUCCCUGUCUCUUAUAC
RNAcentral lists this ribosomal RNA (301 nucleotides) under uncultured bacterium. Its description in RNAcentral is "partial 16S ribosomal RNA". It matches the Rfam family "Bacterial small subunit ribosomal RNA", at positions 509 to 807 of the family's 1533-position model. The record is from RNAcentral.